This 253-nucleotide ribosomal RNA is filed under the name uncultured bacterium. Its description in RNAcentral is "partial 16S ribosomal RNA". It matches the Rfam family "Bacterial small subunit ribosomal RNA", at positions 524 to 776 of the family's 1533-position model. The record is from RNAcentral.
UACGUAGGGUGCGAGCGUUAAUCGGAAUUACUGGGCGUAAAGCGUGCGCAGGCGGUUAUGUAAGACAGGGGUGAAAUCCCCGGGCUUAACCUGGGAACUGCAUUUGUGACUGCAUAGCUAGAGUGCGGUAGAGGGGGAUGGAAUUCCGCGUGUAGCAGUGAAAUGCGUAGAUAUGCGGAGGAACACCGAUGGCGAAGGCAAUCCCCUGGACCUGUACUGACGCUCAUGCACGAAAGCGUGGGGAGCAAACAGG